This 479-nucleotide ribosomal RNA is filed under the name Streptococcus gordonii. Its description in RNAcentral is "bacterial SSU rRNA". It matches the Rfam family "Bacterial small subunit ribosomal RNA", at positions 28 to 483 of the family's 1533-position model. Lineage: Bacteria; Bacillati; Bacillota; Bacilli; Lactobacillales; Streptococcaceae. The record is from RNAcentral.
GACGAACGCUGGCGGCGUGCCUAAUACAUGCAAGUAGAACGCACAGUUUAUACCGUAGCUUGCUACACCAUAGACUGUGAGUUGCGAACGGGUGAGUAACGCGUAGGUAACCUGCCUGGUAGCGGGGGAUAACUAUUGGAAACGAUAGCUAAUACCGCAUAAUAUUAAUUAUUGCAUGAUAAUUGAUUGAAAGGUGCAAUUGCACCACUACCAGAUGGACCUGCGUUGUAUUAGCUAGUAGGUGAGGUAACGGCUCACCUAGGCGACGAUACAUAGCCGACCUGAGAGGGUGAUCGGCCACACUGGGACUGAGACACGGCCCAGACUCCUACGGGAGGCAGCAGUAGGGAAUCUUCGGCAAUGGACGAAAGUCUGACCGAGCAACGCCGCGUGAGUGAAGAAGGUUUUCGGAUCGUAAAGCUCUGUUGUAAGAGAAGAACGGGUGUGAGAGUGGAAAGUCACACUGUGACGUAUCUACC